RNAcentral lists this ribosomal RNA (484 nucleotides) under uncultured bacterium. Its description in RNAcentral is "partial 16S ribosomal RNA". It matches the Rfam family "Bacterial small subunit ribosomal RNA", at positions 30 to 507 of the family's 1533-position model. The record is from RNAcentral.
AUUGAACGCUAGCGGGAUGCUUUACACAUGCAAGUCGAACGGCAGCGCGGACUUCGGUCUGGCGGCGAGUGGCGAACGGGUGAGUAAUGUAUCGGAACGUGCCCAGUAGCGGGGGAUAACUACGCGAAAGCGUAGCUAAUACCGCAUACGCCCUACGGGGGAAAGCAGGGGAUCGUAAGACCUUGCACUAUUGGAGCGGCCGAUAUCGGAUUAGCUAGUUGGUGAGGUAACGGCUCACCAAGGCGACGAUCCGUAGCUGGAUUGAGAGGACGACCAGCCACACUGGGACUGAGACACGGCCCAGACUCCUACGGGAGGCAGCAGUGGGGAAUGUUGGACAAUGGGGGCAACCCUGAUCCAGCCAUCCCGCGUGUGCGAUGAAGGCCUUCGGGUUGUAAAGCACUUUUGGCAGGAAAGAAACGUCGCGGGCUAAUACCCCGUGGAACUGACGGUACCUGCAGAAUAAGCACCGGCUAACUACGUG